CUUUUUUAUUUUACUAUUUUCUACAUUGUAGAAUAACAGUGAAGACAUCAACUCUAUGAAAUAACACAUAUGGAAUCAUGUAGUAACCAACAACAACAAAAAGUUAAACAAAUCAAAAUAUAUGUUAUAUUUGAGAUUCUUCAAAGUAGCCACCUUAGCCGCCUUGAUGACAGCUUUGCACACUCUUGGCAUUGUCUCUACAUGAUUCCAAAUGUGUUAUUUCAUAGUUUUGAUGUCUUCACUAUUAUUCUACAAUGUAGAAAAUAGUAAAAAAUUAAGAAAGACCCUGGAAUGAGUAGGUGUGUCCAAACUUUUGACUGGUACUGUAUAUUACUUAAAAAUAUAUAAUAUUGGUGAAAUAAGCCUUUAUUAGUCUUGUAUGAGCGGAGAAAAAUACUCAGGAUCACCCUGACUGUGUAUAGCUGAUUAUUAGUGCAUUUCUUUGAAAUAUUUUACAAAACCAUUAUGUACUGUACCUCAUUAUAAAUGAAUGUGAAAGCUCACUGCACACGCUCUUCUCCUCCCUCUCUCCUCCUCCUCCUCCUCCUAAAGGGCAUCAGGUUUGGGCGUCGUAGCAACAAGCUGGAUUUGUAUUAUUCUCCCACGGUGGGCCAGCCAGGCAGUGGACCGGUGCCUGUGGUAGUGUUUAUAUACGGGGGAGCCUGGGGUUCAGGGGAGAGGUCCAUAUACUGUCUACUGGCCAUGCAGAUGGCUAAGGAGCUCAGCGCAACGGUGAUCUGCCCCGACUAUUGCACCUAUCCAAAGGGUAAUGUUUUGUGUAUGGUUCAAGAUAUUGCGGACUGUCUCAUUUGGGCGAGGGACAGCGGCCAUAAAUUCAACUUUGACAAAGAUAACAUUGUGUUAAUCGGCCACUCCGCUGGGGCUCACCUAGCAGCUCUAACCGUCCUGUUCAUGGUCGAGGGACGAGACGAGCUCUUUAUAGAUGCCAAGAAGCAGACAGAGAUCACCAUGGCAAUCAGAGGAGUUACAGGUCACUACGGGGUUUAUAGAGUUACAGGUCAAUACGGGGUUUAUAGAGUUACAGGUCACUAUGUGGUUUAUAGAGUUACAGGUCACUAUGUGGUUUAUAGAGUUACAGGUCAAUACGGGGUUUAUAGAGUUACAGGUCACUAUGUGGUUUAUAGAGUUACAGGUCACUAUGUGGUUUAUAGAGUUACAGGUCACUAUGUGGUUUAUAGAGUUACAGGUCACUAUGUGGUUUAUAGAGUUACAGGUCAAUACGUGGUUUAUAGAGUUACAGGUCACUAUGUGGUUUAUAGAGUUACAGGUCACUACGUGGUUUAUAAAGUUACAGGUCACUAUGUGGUUUAUAGAGUUACAGGUCAAUACGGGGUUUAUAGAGUUACAGGUCACUAUGUGGUUUAUAGAGUUACAGGUCACUACGGGGUUUAUAGAGUUACAGGUCACUACGUGGUUUAUAGAGUUACAGGUCACUAUGUGGUUUAUAGAGUUACAGGUCACUAUGUGGUUUAUAGAGUUACAGGUCACUAUGUGGUUUAUAGAGUUACAGGUCACUAUGUGGUUUAUAGAGUUACAGGUCACUAUGUGGUUUAUAGAGUUACAGGUCACUAUGUGGUUUAUAGAGUUACAGGUCACUAUGUGGUUUAUAGAGUUACAGGUCACUAUGUGGUUUAUAGAGUUACAGGUCACUAUGUGGUUUAUAGAGUUACAGGUCACUACGUGGUUUAUAGAGUUACAGGUCACUAUGUGGUUUAUAGAGUUACAGGUCACUAUGUGGUUUAUAGAGUUACAGGUCACUACGUGGUUUAUAGAUAUUGUCUUAGACAAUCAGACAGCUCAACAUUUGUCUCCGCAUUGAUGAGAUUUUCUUGUUUUUAAGCUCAGGCUUUAUUCCAUGAUCAAAUGAAAAACAGGAAGUUGUGUUGUAUUACAUUGAAUUUAGAUUUAAGAAAAAUAAAAGUUCCUUCAAAUAUCUUAAUUCCCCCCCCCCCCUUCUACGACAUGGUGUCUGUUCUCUGUUCAGGUUUGAGUGGAGUGUACAACAUCAUGGACCACUACGAACAUGAACAGAUGAGAGCUGUGGAGUAUGUCUCUACGAUGCACAAAGCCAUGAACGGAGUGGAGAACUUCCCUUAUUACUCACCAACACACCUACUGAAGAAAUUCAGCGAGGAACAACUGAAAAGGUAGGAUGAAGACGCUGCAAUACUAUACAGACAUUGACGAUAAAACUGAUUCGAUAGCUA
RNAcentral lists this long non-coding RNA (2228 nucleotides) under Salmo trutta (river trout). Its description in RNAcentral is "lncRNA (ENSSTUG00000010385.1)". Lineage: Eukaryota; Metazoa; Chordata; Actinopteri; Salmoniformes; Salmonidae. The record is from RNAcentral.